GAGCGUUCUGUACGGAGUGAAGUCGUAGCGAAAGCGGCGGUGGACUGUACAGAAGUGAGAAUGCCGGAAUAAGUAGCGAGAAUUAAGUGAGAAUCUUAAUGGCCGAAAGUCUAAGGUUUUUGGAGGAAGGUUCGUCCGCUCCAAGUAAGUCGGGAGCUAAGGUCAGGCCGAAAGGCGUAGCCGAUGCACAAACGGUUGAUAUUCCGUUACCGUCUAUAAUUUAAACAAAGGGACACAUACAAAGCGUUUAACCCGGGCGAUGGUUG
RNAcentral lists this ribosomal RNA (266 nucleotides) under Vibrio cholerae. RNAcentral's name for it is "partial 23S ribosomal RNA". It matches the Rfam family "Bacterial large subunit ribosomal RNA", at positions 1234 to 1504 of the family's 2925-position model. The record is from RNAcentral. Lineage: Bacteria; Pseudomonadati; Pseudomonadota; Gammaproteobacteria; Vibrionales; Vibrionaceae.